RNAcentral lists this unclassified non-coding RNA (269 nucleotides) under Hevea brasiliensis (rubber tree). Lineage: Eukaryota; Viridiplantae; Streptophyta; Magnoliopsida; Malpighiales; Euphorbiaceae. The record is from RNAcentral.
UAAGAUAAAAGAGAUGAAUUAAAGUGCAAACCGAAUCGCCAAAAAUAGGACAAGGUUAGGAAGAUCAAAGUGUGAUAUAAGGUAUAUAAAGUGCCAUCCUGAGCAAAGUAAAUAGGAUGAACUAAAAGGCAAUAUUAGAAAACCUAAAACGAGGGUACAUGAGUGAGGAUAGCUGUAAAGAUAUGGAAUCCAAAAGUGUAGGACUUAGAGUAGGUCAUGGUUCGGGCAGUGUCAGAAGCCAAAACGUGGGGUUCAGAGUUGCAGGAUGU